Molecule: ribosomal RNA, 592 nt
Filed under: Salmonella enterica subsp. enterica serovar Enteritidis
Lineage: Bacteria; Pseudomonadati; Pseudomonadota; Gammaproteobacteria; Enterobacterales; Enterobacteriaceae
Description: partial 23S ribosomal RNA
Rfam family: Bacterial large subunit ribosomal RNA
Source: RNAcentral
GCGUACACGGUGGAUGCCCUGGCAGUCAGAGGCGAUGAAGGGCGUGCUAAUCUGCGAUAAGCGCCGGUAAGGUGAUAUGAACCGUUAUAACCGGCGAUACCCGAAUGGGGAAACCCAGUGUGAUUCGUCACACUAUCAUUAACUGAAUCCAUAGGUUAAUGAGGCGAACCGGGGGAACUGAAACAUCUAAGUACCCCGAGGAAAAGAAAUCAACCGAGAUUCCCCCAGUAGCGGCGAGCGAACGGGGAGGAGCCCAGAGCCUGAAUCAGCAUGUGUGUUAGUGGAAGCGUCUGGAAAGGCGCGCGAUACAGGGUGACAGCCCCGUACACAAAAGCGCAUGUGCUGUGAGCUCGAUGAGUAGGGCGGGACACGUGGUAUCCUGUCUGAAUAUGGGGGGACCAUCCUCCAAGGCUAAAUACUCCUGACUGACCGAUAGUGAACCAGUACCGUGAGGGAAAGGCGAAAAGAACCCCGGCGAGGGGAGUGAAAAAGAACCUGAAACCGUGUACGUACAAGCAGUGGGAGCACCCUUUGGGUGUGACUGCGUACCUUUUGUAUAAUGGGUCAGCGACUUAUAUUCUGUAGCAAGGUU